AAACCUCCACGUUCAACAAUAACUUUGCUGCAGCAUGAGAGCAGAUUGGUUUCCACAUGCACACUUACUCUCGAUUCCGCCUGUCACAGUAGCCUACGCUCGAUGCAAGAUCUAAAAAGGCUUACUGGUGUCUGCUGGUCAAGCUGAAUAAGUUGGAUGGCAAGCCAAUUGGACAGUCCCUCUUAACCCCUGAAGAGCAAGAAGCAGAUGAAGUAGUGGCUGAGGAAGCAGCCCACCUCUCCUUUGGUUAGAGUGCGUCCAGAGAACGGGUCAUAGUAGCCUGGCAGCAGGUCGACACCCAGGAUCUUAAUGUCACUGCUGUUCAAUGCACUGCACACACCCAGAGAUAUUCUAUUAUUAUAUUUACAUAUUUCUACUGUUUCCCAAAGGGACCUCAGUGUUGACAUCAUAAACAGAAAAUAUACAUACACCACGAUGAACACCACAAUGGAUAUCUCUAGUUGCAACUUGAGUAUUAAACUUAUGACCGUAUUUUGUUUUAACAUGACCAUCAUAAUGAGAAAAUUACCUGGUUGUGCACAAUUACAGUACACUAAAAAUUGAGCUGAAUGAACUGAACGACAGAAAACAAUAAAAGUAAACAGCGGAGGAGGAAAAGAAGCAAGCUAACAGCAAAACAAAACAAAAAUAAUUGAAUGAUCAUAAGAACUGCAACCACCUUUUUUAGUUGUGGUCUAUACAUUUUAUUCAGUUCCCCAUAAAAACUAAAGAGGGCAUUUUGCAAUUACCAUCAUUCAUCUUAAAAUAUCAGGUACUGAUGUAUCAGUGCAUUUCUGUAGGGAAUUUUCUUUCCUUCUCACCAACCAUUGUCCAUUAUACAUUUUCUGUCAGCAUCUGCUAUUUUAGCAUUGAUUUUUCUCUCUUUCUCAUAGAAACACUCAAAACACACUUUCCAUCUAAGCCAGUUGAGUGCUCUCACUAUAUUGAGUCUUUCCCUGAGAGUGCACUCACUUUCCAUCCACAGCGUCCACCACCUUGACAUCAACCUCCAGCUCAUUCAGAGAGAACAGCAUCCGGUCUCUACGGUCAGAACGCCGCCGCAGAUUAAUCAGAUAUAUCUGAGGAGAGGAUGGUUAUUUAUGGACAAAUGGUUAUUUAACUGUGUACUGUGUAAACUGCAUGUUAUAACUGAAAUGUAUAAAAUUAACUCCCACCUUUGACUUCUGUAAACAAGUCUAUAUCCUGCACUUUCUUAAACUGCAGAAACAUACUUAAAGGAACGUGUUACAUACUUAACCUGAAUGAUAAAACAGCCUAAAAAAAGUUCAGUUCCUCUAUGCUCUCAUUAUUUUGUAGCCCAUUUCAUGAGUUUAGAAUUUUAAUUAAAAGCAGACAUCAAUACAGGCAAAACACCAGGAUUUUUAU
Long non-coding RNA from Micropterus dolomieu (smallmouth bass), 1386 nucleotides. RefSeq lists it as uncharacterized. Lineage: Eukaryota; Metazoa; Chordata; Actinopteri; Centrarchiformes; Centrarchidae. The record is from RefSeq and is a predicted model, not a curated record. The transcript is spliced from 3 exons.